Molecule: ribosomal RNA, 497 nt
Filed under: uncultured bacterium
Lineage: Bacteria
Description: partial 16S ribosomal RNA
Rfam family: Bacterial small subunit ribosomal RNA
Source: RNAcentral
GAUGAACGCUGGCGGCGUGCCUAAUACAUGCAAGUCGAGCGAACAGACGAGGAGCUUGCUUCUCUGAUGUUAGCGGCGGACGGGUGAGUAACACGUGGAUAACCUACCUAUAAGACUGGGAUAACUUCGGGAAACCGGAGCUAAUACCGGAUAAUAUUUUGAACCGCAUGGUUCAAUAGUGAAAGACGGUCUUGCUGUCACUUAUAGAUGGAUCCGCGCUGCAUUAGCUAGUUGGUAAGGUAACGGCUUACCAAGGCAACGAUGCAUAGCCGACCUGAGAGGGUGAUCGGCCACACUGGAACUGAGACACGGUCCAGACUCCUACGGGAGGCAGCAGCAGGGAAUCUUCCGCAAUGGGCGAAAGCCUGACGGAGCAACGCCGCGUGAGUGAUGAAGGUCUUCGGAUCGUAAAACUCUGUUAUUAGGGAAGAACAUAUGUGUAAGUAACUGUGCACAUCUUGACGGUACCUAAUCAGAAAGCCACGGCUAACUACGUG